Molecule: ribosomal RNA, 253 nt
Filed under: uncultured bacterium
Lineage: Bacteria
Description: partial 16S ribosomal RNA
Rfam family: Bacterial small subunit ribosomal RNA
Source: RNAcentral
UACGUAGGGUGCAAGCGUUGUCCGGAAUCACUGGGCGUAAAGGGCGCGUAGGUGGCGGCCCAAGUCCGUGGUGAAAGUUCGCCGCUUAACGGCGAGUCGGCCACGGAGACUGGGUGGCUCGAGCACUGUAGGGGCAGAUGGAAUUCCGGGUGUAGCGGUGGAAUGCGUAGAGAUCCGGAAGAACACCAGUGGCGAAGGCGGUCUGCUGGGCAGUUGCUGACACUGAGGCGCGACAGCGUGGGGAGCAAACAGG